This 443-nucleotide ribosomal RNA is filed under the name uncultured bacterium. RNAcentral describes it as "partial 16S ribosomal RNA". It matches the Rfam family "Bacterial small subunit ribosomal RNA", at positions 338 to 795 of the family's 1533-position model. The record is from RNAcentral.
CCUACGGGUGGCAGCAGUGGGGAAUAUUGGACAAUGAGGGGAACCUUGAUCCAGCGACGCCGCGUGCGUGAAGAAGUAUUUCGGUAUGUAAAGCGCUGUCAGCAGGGAAGAAAGUAAUGACGGUACCAGGCUAGGAAGCUGCGGCUAACUAGUUGCCAGCAGCCGCGUUAAUACGUAGGGGGCAAGCGUUAUCCGGAUGUACUGGGUGCAAAGGGAGCGAAGACGGCGAUGCAAGUCUGAGGUGAAAGGCGGGGGGCCAAACCCCGGACUGCUUUGGAAACUGUAUGGCUGGAGUGCAGUAGAGGUAAGUGGAAUUCCAAGUGAAGCGGUGAAAUGCGUAGAUAUUAGGAGGAACACCAGAGGCGAAGGCGGCUUACUGGACUGUAACUGACGUUGAGGCUCGAAAGCGUGGGGAGCAAACAGGAUUAGAUACCCCAGUAGUC